UUGGGACACCCUGUAUAGCCGUAAAUAGGCAAACAUACUACUGCAUACUACUGUUACGCUAUCACGUGAACUUAGCUCUAUUACAUGUAGCGCUACAAUGCAAUAGAAAACUAUACUAAUGUACACCAUAAUUUACACCAUUUGUUAUUAAUUAUGUAAAAGUAGGAUAUAAAUAUUAUGACUAUAUGGUUUGAAGAAAAUAUAAGUGUGAAGGAAGUUAAAACCUUUGGACCAAAUUGAAGUGUUUUAAAAUUAAUAAGAGAUAUUAUAAGUUAAUACAAACGUGAAAUAGACAAAAUUGUUGAUACGAAGCCAAAGAGGUUAAGUGAACGCGUGGAAGUGAUAAAGGGAAGCUACCCAAGGAAAGAAUUGUGCAGUUAAUUACAAGAGUGUGUUACAGAUUUUACAACUUGGGACUUCAAGUCAGUAUCAUUAAUUAUGGCUUCCAGUAUGGCAUAUAUAUGAUUGAAUACGGUCAUUACUUCUUCUGUAGGAACAGAAAGGCCUCUUCUUCGCCAAUAGUUUUACCUUUAUCCUCCACAAUUAAUAAUUUACAUAUAUUACAAUUUAGUUUUUUAGCAAUAGAAUGGGACCCAUAACCAGAUAUGUAAAUUUUAAUGGAAUCAUCAACAACACAAGUGGAUAAAUAUCCAGUUUCGAAGAUUCCCAGAAAACAAGUUACAUCAAUGGAAAGAUUAUAAAGAUUAUUAUCGUUAUCACAAAUUUCAAAUCUAUUUUUGAUUUUAGUAAAAGAAAAAAAUCUUGCUGAUUUCGUAAAUAUAUGUUUUAAUCUAAUAUUUUUCUCUGCAUGAACUACUUCAUUGUAUGAAACGUGAUAAUUACAGCUAGAUAAAAAUCUAUAGUUUCCAAAUCGUUUCUAUAAUUUUUCAGUUGAAAAUUUUCCUGCUAAAAGAUAAGAUAUGUCAACAUUUUGAAAACAGUACUCUAUUAGUAGUAAAAGAACUCUAGUACUUUGAUGUAAAGCUUUGAAAGUGUUGAGGAAUCGAGUAUGGGAGAUUAACAAUGAGACAGUAUAUAAGAUCACGUGGAUAGAGAUUGCCGAAGCAUGCCACCGCGUGCUAACGUCUGACAAGGUUAUGCUUUUUGUUACUCACUUG
Long non-coding RNA from Hylaeus anthracinus, 1118 nucleotides. RefSeq lists it as uncharacterized. The transcript is spliced from 3 exons. NCBI's taxonomy places the organism in Eukaryota, Metazoa, Arthropoda, Insecta, Hymenoptera, Colletidae. The record is from RefSeq and is a predicted model, not a curated record.